CGUCUUGGUGAAACUCUGGCACUGAGAUGCGUCCCUGUCUGGCGCUUGCCAGCUCCAGGCAUGGGAUAUUAGAGUCCUGAACGCGGCUCGACCCCUGCAUACUCAUUGCUCGCGCAGGAGGCUGAACACGUAGCUCACGUCUAGGGAAAGGUGAUGGUUCAAGGCCAAGAGAGUGGGCCAUGAACAGAAGAAAUUAGAAAGAGGCAAAGACUGUUGUAAAUGUCACCAUAGAUAAUUCUCCAACUGGAAGCCUACGUUUCUCUCAGAAAUGUGCGGAACUUAAGAAUGCCUUGGAGCGCAUCAGCGUGUGCCACCAAAGACUACGAUGGCUGAAAACAGCUUUAAAAUGCUGAAGAUCCAGCAGUGUGUAGCCAACAAACUACCUAGGAACAGGCCUUAUAUUUGCAAUAUCUGCUUCAAGCACUUUGAAACACCGUCCAAGUUAGCUAGGCAUUAUCUGAUUCAUACUGGUCAAAAGCCAUUCGAAUGUGAUGCAUGUCAUAAAAACUUUAGACAGCUUGUUCAUCUGGAGAGGCACCAGUUAACUCACAAUCUGCCUUUUAGCUGUAAUAUUUGCCAGCGCCACUUUAAAAAUCUGAAGACAUUUGUGAGGCAUCAACAGCUUCACAAUGAGUCCUGUCAUAGUGAUAUCAAAGUCAGAAGACUGCUUGAGACCAAGCAAGAGAAGCCUGUGUAUGGAGCAUAUAGUGCUUUUACUGCAGACGAGAGACGGGCACUACACCCAUGCUCUAAGUCUGAUCCCACGUACAGCACCACGGAGAGAAGAAAGAAUAUUCAUGCAUGUACAAUCUGUGGCAAAAUGUUCCCAUCGCAGUCAAAACUUGAUAGGCAUGCCCUUAUUCAUACUGGGCAGAGGCCUUUUAAAUGUGUCCUGUGCAGUAAAUCUUUCCGACAGUCAACCCACUUAAAAAUCCACCAACUCACACAUUCAGAAGAAAGACCUUUUCAAUGUUGUUUUUGUCAAAAAGGAUUUAAGAUUCAAAGCAAACUUCUGAAGCAUAAACAAAUCCACACUAGGAAUAAGACUUUUCAGAAUCUUCCUUUAAAAGUAAAGAGUCCAGAGUCAUGUCCCCUACCUAAUAAAUUAAAUGCAAAGCAGGACGCUUUUGAAAGUGGUGAUAUGGGUGAAUCUGAGGAGAAGAAUCCUCUUGAUGUCCACUCUAUUUAUAUUGUUCCUUUCCAGUGUUCAGAGUGUGAAGAAUGUUUUGAGUCAGAGCAGAUUCUCAAUGGACACAAGUGUCUUCCUGCCAGAGGUGGCAGAAUUCCAGGCAGACUCAAAAGAAGCUGUAACUAUAAGACCAUUGUUAAAAAGCUCUUGGCUAAACUUAAACGUGCUGGGGGUAAAAAAUCAGAUAACCUCCAAUCAGAGAAAAGAACAUUUAAAAGCAACUGCUUGAAAAAUUGCGAAUGUACUUCUGGUAAGGCGAACAUGGAACAAACUCAGAGAACAUUUGUGGGUUCUCUUAGCAGACAUGGGUCUUACAAGACAGUUAGCAAAAAAAAGAAAACACUGACUUUACCAUUUUCUUGGCAAAAGCAAUUCCAGAGCCAAAAUAUGGGUAAGAGUUUGCAAGGCAUCCUUAAGACGGGAAGCAUAUUAACUAUGGAUGGUUCAGUCAGUAAUAAAGACCUGUCAAUCUAUGGUUCA
This 1669-nucleotide long non-coding RNA is filed under the name Rattus norvegicus (Norway rat). Its description in RNAcentral is "long non-coding RNA NONRATT019573". Lineage: Eukaryota; Metazoa; Chordata; Mammalia; Rodentia; Muridae. The record is from RNAcentral.